Molecule: transfer RNA, 45 nt
Filed under: Coscinasterias muricata
Lineage: Eukaryota; Metazoa; Echinodermata; Asteroidea; Forcipulatida; Asteriidae
Description: partial tRNA-Glu
Source: RNAcentral
AACUUUUCACGUUAUAGGUUUAGGUUANACCCCUAACAAGAAUCC